AUACGGAGGAUUCAAGCGUUAUCCGGAUUUAUUGGGUUUAAAGGGUGCGUAGGCGGUUUUGAUAAGUUAGAGGUGAAAUAUCGGGGCUUAACUCCGAAACUGCCUCUAAUACUGUUAGACUAGAGAAUAGUUGCGGUAGGCGGAAUGUAUGGUGUAGCGGUGAAAUGCUUAGAGAUCAUACAGAACACCGAUUGCGAAGGCAGCUUACUAAGCUACAACUGACACUGAAGCACGAAAGCGUGGGGAUC
This 248-nucleotide ribosomal RNA is filed under the name uncultured bacterium. Its description in RNAcentral is "partial 16S ribosomal RNA". It matches the Rfam family "Bacterial small subunit ribosomal RNA", at positions 523 to 769 of the family's 1533-position model. The record is from RNAcentral.